UAGCCCUACGGACGCAGCAGUGAGGGAUAUUGGUCAAUGGGGGAACCCUGAACCAGCAACGCCGCGUGAGGGAAGACGGUUUUCGGAUUGUAAACCUCUGUCCUCUGUGAAGAUAAUGACGGUAGCAGAGGAGGAAGCUCCGGCUAACUACGUGCCAGCAGCCGCGGUAAUACAUAGGGAGCAAGCGUUAUCCGGAUUUAUUGGGUGUAAAGGGUGCGUAGACGGGAAAUUAAGUUAGUUGUGAAAUCCCUCGGCUUAACUGAGGAACUGCAACUAAAACUGGUUUUCUUGAGUACUGGAGAGGA
RNAcentral lists this ribosomal RNA (305 nucleotides) under uncultured bacterium. Its description in RNAcentral is "bacterial SSU rRNA". It matches the Rfam family "Bacterial small subunit ribosomal RNA", at positions 334 to 658 of the family's 1533-position model. The record is from RNAcentral.